RNAcentral lists this ribosomal RNA (842 nucleotides) under uncultured Sphingobacteriia bacterium. RNAcentral describes it as "bacterial SSU rRNA". It matches the Rfam family "Bacterial small subunit ribosomal RNA", at positions 58 to 898 of the family's 1533-position model. Lineage: Bacteria; Pseudomonadati; Bacteroidota; Sphingobacteriia. The record is from RNAcentral.
CAAGUCGUGGGGCAGCAGGGGUAGCAAUACCCGCUGGCGACCGGCAAACGGGUGCGGAACACGUACGCAACCUUCCUUUAACUGGAGAAUAGCCCCUCGAAAGAGGGAUUAAUACUCCGUAACAUAUACAUGUGGCAUCACAAGUAUAUUAUAGCUCCGGCGGUUAAAGAUGGGCGUGCGCCUGAUUAGAUAGUUGGCGGGGUAAUGGCCCACCAAGUCUGCGAUCAGUAACUGGUGUGAGAGCACGACCAGUCACACGGGCACUGAGACACGGGCCCGACUCCUACGGGAGGCAGCAGUAAGGAAUAUUGGUCAAUGGACGCAAGUCUGAACCAGCCAUGCCGCGUGGAGGAUUAAGGCCCUCUGGGUUGUAAACUCCUUUUAUCUGGGAAGAAAUGCAGAAAUUCUUUUCUGCUUGACGGUACCAGAGGAAUAAGCACCGGCUAACUCCGUGCCAGCAGCCGCGGUAAUACGGAGGGUGCAAGCGUUAUCCGGAUUCACUGGGUUUAAAGGGUGCGUAGGCGGGCAGGUAAGUCCGUGGUGAAAUCUCUGAGCUUAACUCAGAAACUGCCAUGGAUACUAUUUGUCUUGAAUAUUGUGGAGGUAAGCGGAAUAUGUCAUGUAGCGGUGAAAUGCUUAGAUAUGACAUAGAACACCAAUUGCGAAGGCAGCUUACUACACAGUUAUUGACGCUGAGGCACGAAAGCGUGGGGAUCAAACAGGAUUAGAUACCCUGGUAGUCCACGCCCUAAACGAUGAUUACUCGACAUCAGCGAUACACUGUUGGUGUCUGAGCGAAAGCAUUAAGUAAUCCACCUGGGAAGUACGAUCGCAAGAUUGAA